This is a transfer RNA of Ipomoea nil (Japanese morning glory), 73 nucleotides long. It matches the Rfam family "tRNA". Rfam says of the family: Transfer RNA (tRNA) molecules are approximately 80 nucleotides in length. Their secondary structure includes four short double-helical elements and three loops (D, anti-codon, and T loops). NCBI's taxonomy places the organism in Eukaryota, Viridiplantae, Streptophyta, Magnoliopsida, Solanales, Convolvulaceae. The record is from Rfam.
GUUGUUGUGGUGUAGUUGUUAUCAUGUUAGUCUUACACACAGAAGGUCCCCAGUUCGAUCUUGGGCAGCAACA